AUUCGCAUUAAGCCAUGCGAGUCGAGAGGGUUCGGCCCUCGGCUGACGGCUCAGUAACACGUGGAUAACCUGCCCUCAGGUAGGGGAUAAUCUCGGGAAACUGAGGAUAAUACCCUAUAUACAUCCUUUGCUGGAACGCUUGGAUGUUCAAAGGCAACGCCUGAGGAUGGGUCUGCGGCCUAUCAGGUUGUAGUGGGUGUAACGGACCCACUAGCCAGCGACGGGUACGGGCCUUGAAAGAGGUAGCCCGGAGAUGGACUCUGAGACACGAGUCCAGGCCCUACGGGGCGCAGCAGGCGCGAAAACUUCGCAAUGCGGGAAACCGUGACGAGGGAAUCCCGAGUGCUCAUACAAUGUAUGGGCUUUUCUUAUGUGUAGAUAGCAUGAGGAAUAAGGGCUGGGUAAGACCGGUGCCAGCCGCCGCGGUAAUACCGGCAGCUCUAGUGGUGGCCACUUUUAUUGGGCCUAAAGCGUCCGUAGCCGGUCAGGUAAAUCCUUGGGUAAAUCGUACAGCUCAACUGUGCGGCUUCCGGGGAGACUGCCUGACUUGGGACCGGGAGAGGUUGGAGGUACUCCUGGGGUAGGGGUGAAAUCCUGUAAUCCUAUGUGGACCACCGGUGGCGAAGGCGUCCAACCAGAACGGCUCCGACGGUGAGGGACGAAGGCUAGGGGCGCAAACCGGAUUAGAUACCCGGGUAGUCCUAGCUGUAAACGCUGCAGACUUGGUGUUGGAGAUCCCACGAGGGUGUCCAGUGCCGGAGAGAAGUUGUUAAGCUUGCCGCCUGGGAAGUAUGGCCGCAAGGCUGAAACUUAAAGGAAUUGGCGGGGGAGCACCGCAACGGGAGGAGCGUGCGGUUUAAUUGGAUUCAACGUCGGAAAACUCACCGGGGGCGACUGUUACAUGAAGGCCAGUUUAAAGACUUUGCCUAAUUUUCAGAGAGGUGGUGCAUGGCCGUCGUCAGUUCGUACCGCAAGGCGUUCUGUUAAGUCA
Molecule: ribosomal RNA, 991 nt
Filed under: uncultured archaeon
Lineage: Archaea
Description: bacterial SSU rRNA
Rfam family: Archaeal small subunit ribosomal RNA
Source: RNAcentral